AUGGUUGCUUCCGCUGCUGCUCGGUCCGGCCGCCGCCGUCGGGGCCGCCCUCCUGGUAUUCAAGCCGCUGUUAUUUCCCGUGUCCGCCGUGCUGCCGGCCGUCUUUCCUCGCCGGAUUUUCCGUCAGCGACGGCAGAUGCUGGUGCGCGUGGCCGGCCGGCUGAUUCAGGCUGCCAUGUCCGGUCCGGGGCUCGCCGACCGUUUCGUUCUUCCCGAACUGGUGUGCACCGGUUAGAUUCGUGGCGAGAUGUUAAUGUGGACGUUGAUACUCGCCGUCGGGAGAUUUCAUUAGGGAAGCGGCCUGUGGAUUGUACCAUUGAUCGAGUAUUUGUGUUUCUGGUUUUCCUGCUGGUGUUCAUCUUUAUGGCUCUUUGGUUGGUGAUACGACUUUCCGUUGCCGUCCAAGAGUGGUCCUUUAUGUGCCACCGGUACUUUUGGUCGGCCUACUCCUCUUGUGAUGCCUACUCCUGUUAUGGAGCACUCUCGUGUUGUGUAAGAAUGUUGCACUAG
Molecule: ribosomal RNA, 510 nt
Filed under: Triticum aestivum (bread wheat)
Lineage: Eukaryota; Viridiplantae; Streptophyta; Magnoliopsida; Poales; Poaceae
Description: partial small subunit ribosomal RNA
Source: RNAcentral